GGAUGCGCAGCGGGCAGGGUCCAGGCCGGUCGGCCCGCGGGCCACAAGCUCUGCUGGGGCUGCCCCAGCGCGGGGACCGGGACGGGGCGCGGGGGCCAGGUGCGGCCGGGCCUCACCUCCACGGCUUGGCCCAGCUCCAGGUCGAAGCCCACCACACACACGCAAUGCAGCCAGGCUGAGAAGCCGUCCCAGCGCAGCAGGCCCCGGCUGCGGCCCUCGUCCUCUUCAACGUCCUCUGGCGCGUCUCCCGCCGCCACCACGGCCGGCGCCUCGCGUUCCUCGUCCGCUGCCCCCGCCUGACCCAGCGGCCCGCGGGAGCCGGGCCCCGAGCCUGCCAGGCCCCGCAGAGCCAUCCGCCGCCCCCUGGCUGUUUGCGCCGCCUCCACUGCGGACCGCGCUACAGAGCGCGCUCGGCUCCGCGCAGACGCAGCCACAGCUGCCGCAGCCGCGGGGGACGGGCUCAGCCGGGGCGGGGCCGCGGCCCAUGUGACCCUGGGAGCCCGGCUCUGCAUGGAUCCUCCUGUACCGGCCUCCCGGAGUAAAAUAUGUCGCGCAGGCCCUUGACUGGGCUUGUGAAGCCUCCUUGCUUUAAAGCUCUUCAAGACUGAAGCAGUGAAUCCUGGAAUCCUCCUUCGCAGUCCAACGACCAAGGAAUGAAUUAUUCUUGGAAUGACCCCGUUCAUAAUUAUAAGGUGGGCCUCAUCCAAUCCAUUGGAGACAUAAUAGAACAAGAAAGGCUGAAUAAAGGAGGAUUCCCUCUCUGCCUGACUGUCUUAGAGCUGGGACAACAGUCUUCUCUUGCCUUAGAAAAAGACUGCUGAAUGAAAAAUAAAUGUCUUUACUUGUCUUCAGGAGAAAGAUGGAAAUACUCCGAAGACCACUGCAUUGCCUGCAAGUCCUUCAGCAACUGAAACCACUUUUCUGUGCCCUUCUUUCUUGACCACCUCUCCUUAUGCUCCAGUAAUACAGACCUACUUGUAAUUCCCUUAAAGUCCUUUCCUCCCGAGUCUCUGGGUGUUUGUAAUGUUUCCUUGGCCUAAAAUUUCAUUAUCCCAUUACUAUCAGACUAGCUGGCCUACUCCUACUCAUUUUUCAUCUCAGUUUAAACUAUUCCGCCAUGCUCCCAUUCCUCUUGAUAAACUCAUUACAGCAAGAAUCUUAUUGUGUCAUCAACUAAAUUGUAAGUAACUCAAGGGAGUCUUUCUUUUUUAAUUGUUGUAUUUCCAGAGCCUGUCGCAGUAGCUGUUUCCCACAUUCAAAUUAAAUAUUUAUAGAGUGAAUGAAUGACAAGAAUGCAUAAGUGACUUAUAAGUUCAUGCACAGAACUCAUUAGGGGAUGUGGCGGGUUCUAUAUUACUUUACUCCACAGAAGCCUAAAAGUUACCACAAGU
Molecule: long non-coding RNA, 1391 nt
Organism: Lagenorhynchus albirostris (white-beaked dolphin)
Lineage: Eukaryota; Metazoa; Chordata; Mammalia; Artiodactyla; Delphinidae
Exons: 4
Source: RefSeq, a predicted model, not a curated record